This 908-nucleotide long non-coding RNA is filed under the name Rattus norvegicus (Norway rat). RNAcentral's name for it is "long non-coding RNA NONRATT032518". Lineage: Eukaryota; Metazoa; Chordata; Mammalia; Rodentia; Muridae. The record is from RNAcentral.
GACUGAUUCAAAAUUACAAAAGUCAGCCUGACAUGGUAGACCUUUAAAUUCUAGCUCUCAGGAGGCAGAGGCAGGCAGAUCUCUGUAAAUUCAAGGUCAGCCUAACCUCAUAUCAAGUUCCAGGCCCAACAGAGGUACAGUGAGAACCCUGUCACAAUAAAGUACAAAGACUUCAAAAAUAUCUGAGGUUGUAGCUUAGUGGUAAAGCACUGGCCUAGAAUUGGUGAGGCCCUGGGUUUGAUUCCCCAAUACUGAAGGAAAAGAAGAUCUAAAGCAACUAUUUUUCACUUUUUAGAAGAAACUUGCAAUUCCUUUGUAUAAGACAAGCAACAGAGUCGGUUCAGGAGUGAGUGUUGCAUUUUCACAGACCUUGGAGAGGAGUCAUGUAGCCUUGACCUGGGUUUUAAAGGAUACAGGCCUUGGGUAGAGAGAGUCAGCAGCCUGGGGUUAGACAUCGACCACUCCCACCCCCAACCUGGUCUUUCUGAACACAGUAACAAGUGUCCAGAUGUCUCUCUGUCACUAUCUACAGCAGACUACCUCAGAAGACAACCACCUAGGCCUCCUACUUGCCCUGUUUCCGGUCAAAUAUCAUGUCAAAUAAGUGUCACCCUGGAAGACACUUUUUCCUUUUCUCCUAUAUUUGUUAUUUUAAUUUCUAAAUUUGUGUGCCUAUAUACAUGUGUGUCUGUGUACUUGGCAAGCUGUUUGUGUGAGUUAGAAUUCUCUUUGUUCACCAUGUGGGUUCCAGGGAUUGAACUCAGUCCUUGGGCUUGGUGGCAAGCCACCUCACUGACUGAUUCUUUUAAGAUCUCUCUCUCUCUCUCUCUCUCUCUCUCUCUCUAAGAUUUAUUUGUUUUCUAUAUAUGAGUACACUGUCCCUGUCUUCAGACACAACUGCAGAGAGC